UAAAUUGAGAGUUUGAUCCUGGCUCAGGAUGAACGCUGGCGGCGUGCCUAAUACAUGCAAGUCGAACGGACUGUGGUGAUUAUGAUCGAAGAGCUUGCUCGGAGAGAUUAAUCACAAUGCAGUCAGUGGCGAACGGGUGAGUAACACGUGGGAAACCUACCUCUUAGCAGGGGAUAACAUUUGGAAACAGAUGCUAAUACCGUAUAACAAUUAGAACCGCAUGGUUCAAGUUUAAAAGAUGGUUCUGCUAUCACUAAGAGAUGGUCCCGCGGCGUAUUAGUUAGAUGGUGAGGUAAUGGCUCACCAUGGCAAUGAUACGUAGCCGAGUUGAGAGACUGAUCGGCCACAUUGGGACUGAGACACGGCCCAAACUCCUACGGGAGGCAGCAGUAGGGAAUCUUCCACAAUGGACGAAAGUCUGAUGGAGCAACGCCGCGUGUGUGAUGAAGGCUUUCGGGUCGUAAAACACUGUUAUAAGAGAAGAACGUCAGUGAGAGUAACUGUUCAUUGAGUGACGGUAUCUUAUCAGAAAGGGACGGCUAAAUACGUGCCAGCAGCCGCGGUAAUACGUAUGUCCCAAGCGUUAUCCGGAUUUAUUGGGCGUAAAGCGAGCGCAGGCGGUUAUUUAAGUCUGAUGUGAAAGCCUACGGCUCAACCGUAGAAUUGCAUCGGAAACUGGAUAACUUGAGUGCAGUAGAGGAGAGUGGAACUCCAUGUGUAGCGGUGAAAUGCGUAGAUAUAUGGAAGAACACCAGUGGCGAAGGCGGCUCUCUGGACUGUAACUGACGCUGAGGCUCGAAAGUGUGGGUAGCAAACGGAUUAGAUACCCCGGUAGUCCACACCGUAAACGAUGAAUGCUAGUUGUUAGAGGGUUUCCGCCCUUUAGUGACGCAGCUAACGCAUUAAGCAUUCCGCCUGGGGAGUACGACCGCAAGGUUGAAACUCAAAGGAAUUGACGCCGAGGUGGAUGACACAGGUGGUUGUCGUCAGCUCGUGUCGUGAGAUGUUGGGUUAAGUCCCGCAACGAGCGCAACCCUUAUUACUAGUUGCCAGCAUUAAGUUGGGCACUCUAGUGAGACUGCCGGUGACAAACCGGAGGAAGGUGGGGAUGACGUCAAAUCAUCAUGCCCCUUAUGACCUGGGCUACACACGUGCUACAAUGGAUGGUACAACGAGUCGCAAAGUCGCGAGGCUAAGCUAAUCUCUUAAAGCCAUUCUCAGUUCGGAUUGUAGUCUGCAACUCGACUACAUGAAGUCGGAAUCGCUAGUAAUCGCGGAUCAGCACGCCGCGGUGAAUACGUUCCCGGGCCUUGUACACACCGCCCGUCACACCAUGAGAGUUUGUAACACCCAAAGUCGGUGGGGUAACCUUCGGGAGCCAGCCGCCUAAGGUGGGAUAGAUGAUUAGGGUGAAGUCGUAACAAGGUAGCCGUAGGAGAACCUGCGGCUGGAUCACCUCCUUUCUAAGGA
RNAcentral lists this ribosomal RNA (1470 nucleotides) under Periweissella cryptocerci. RNAcentral describes it as "bacterial SSU rRNA". It matches the Rfam family "Bacterial small subunit ribosomal RNA". The record is from RNAcentral. Lineage: Bacteria; Bacillati; Bacillota; Bacilli; Lactobacillales; Lactobacillaceae.